Non-coding RNA from Camellia sinensis, 1020 nucleotides. The record is from RefSeq and is a predicted model, not a curated record. Lineage: Eukaryota; Viridiplantae; Streptophyta; Magnoliopsida; Ericales; Theaceae.
UCUCUCUCUCUCUCUCUUCCCAACCCGACACCGCUGCUCCAUCAGAAUUCGAAACCCAUCUUCACUUCCUUUCGUGUUGGUGUACGGCAUUUAUAUUAUAUUAUCAUGAAGAUCCAUUAUUACAGUUCAAUUGAUGCCGAUUCUCGUGGAAGAUUAUAUGCUAGAAGCGUUUCUUAUGGAAAAUUAAUGAAAAUUGAAAAGAAAAUUUGAAUCUUCUGCGAUAAUGGCGACUCUAUGUAAAGUUUCACGUUCUUCUCUGUAAUUGUACUGAUUCUAAGAAUUACGCAGCUUCAAGACAUGUGUUUUGCGGCCACAGACUGUGAGUCUGGUCUCUACUGUGGCCAAGCUAUAAAGCCCAUUUUAUUGUAAGCUAUAUUUUGUGUUUUACAACAAUUCUGGUGAUGGGUUUUUGUUGUUUUGUGCAAUUGGUCAUGGGUUGAUCAAUGGGUUUCCCUUUAAGCACUCGAGGCUGGUGACUCGUAAUCUUCAGUCAGUGUUAAUGGAUUGGUUUUAUGGCUUUAUUUUGUAAAUUGGGAUUUUUGUUUUGUCUUCUAUACUUUGUAUAUAAUUGACUGGCUUUGGAUUGUUGUGUGAUUAGCUUUGGGGAGAAGCAUUCUUUUUCUUCCGUUUGUAUGCCUGUUCUUACUUUGGUACAGGCAGUGGACAGAGAGAGAUUAGAGAGAACACAAGAGAGGGAUUAUAGUGCUAGGGUUAAAAUUGGUAUUUUCAAAAUUUUAAUUGAUGGCAUCAGCCCUACCUAUUAGUUGACAUAUCAAUUGACUAACGGAGGGAGAAAAUUGUAAUGCGAUUGGAAACCAUAGGGAGGAGAUAUAAUUUGUAGAAGCACAAGGAUAAUAAUGUAUUUGCUAGAAACCUUAGGGGAGGUCACUCCCCGUCUCUUAGUUUAUGGCGAAUGGGUAGCCACAUAAAAGGUGAAGAAAUUCGGUGAAAUACUCUUGGUGAAGUACUUAUAGCAGGUCUCUUUCAAAAUUAUUUUUUUUCUUCAAAAAAAAAAAAAAA